AAUUAAGGUUACCAUGAUAAUGUGAUAGAUUUCCAUAUUAAGUAAUUUUUUUUCUUCUGGUGGUUUCUCUGUGACUGCUUAAAAAUUUAUUAUCUGAAAAUGUAAAAAAACAAAAAAGUGAUGCCUUUAUUCUUCGACACUUUAUGACAAGUGGUAAGGCCUAUAUUGGGCUGUUAGCACCAAAUAUUAGAACUAAAUUUAGUUUUAUCUUUCAUUGAAAAUAGAUUCUUUUCUCAUAAUAAUAUAUCAUGAAUCUGAUUUUGCCUCACACUACUCCUCCUAGAUCCUCCUCACCUGCCCUCACAUCUGGAUCCAUCCCUUUUCUGUCUCACACUAGAAAACAGGUUUCUAUGGCAUCAUAGUAAAACAAAAUAUAAUAAGACAAAACAAAAACAAACACAUCAGAAUAGGACAAAACAAGCAAAAAGAAGGAAAAGAGCCUAAGAAAAUACAGAAGAAACAUAUAGAGAUUCAGAGAAUCACUCAAUUGUACCCCCAGGAAUCCCAUAAACAUAAACAUACACACACACAUACACACACACACACACACACACACACACACACACAAUCUAGAAGCUGUAAUACCCAAAGGACCUGUAAGGAAGAAAAAUGUAAGAAGUUAAUUUUAAAAAAGGGAGGGCUAGACAGGGCUCAGUGGUUAAAAGCACUGGCUCUCCUUCCAAAGGACCUGGGUUCAAUUCCCAGCACCUACAUGGCAGCUCCCAACUGUCUGUGAUUCUAGUUCUAAAGGACCUGACUCCCUCACACAGACAUAUGUACAGGCAGACACAAAUGUACAUAAAAUAAACCAUUUACAAAUAAGAAAUGAAAAAUAAUAUGUCCUGUUACAACAUUAAGAAUAGUCAAAUGGGAGCCGGGCGUGGUGGCGCACUCCUUUAGUCCCAGCACUUGGGAGGCAGAGGCAGUCAGAUUUCUGAGUUUGAGGCCAGCCUGGUCUACAAAGUAAGAUCCAGGACAGCCAGGGCUAUACAGAGAAACCCUGUCUCGAAAAAACAUAAAAACAAAAACAAACAAACAAACAAAAAGAAUGGACAAAUGGGACCUCAUAAAAUUGCAAAGCUUCUGUAAGGCAAAGGACACUGUCAAUAGGACAAAACAGCAACCAACAGAUUGAGAAAAGAUCUUUACCAAUCCUAAAUCUGAUAAGGAGCUAAUAUCCAAUAUAUAUAAGAAAAGAUCUUUACCAAUCCUAAAUCUGAUAAGGAGCUAAUAUCCAAUAUAUAUAAAGAACUCAAGAAGUUGAACUUCAGAAAACCAAACAACCCUAUUAAAAAUGGGGUACAGAGCUAAACAAAGAAUUCUCAACUGAGGAAUACUGAAUGGCUGAGAAGCAGCUAGUCAACAAACUUCCAAAGAUACCAUUGAGUUCAUUUUCGUACUGGUCAUCUUCUGCUAGACAUGUGGCUUACACUUAAGAAGAGUUUGUUUUCCCAUUGAGAUUCCCUUGGAAGAAAACCAAAUUCUCAUUUUCAAAUGGUUAUCAAUUGGAGAAUUUGAGAUUAGGGAUACGGGCAGGUGACCACUUCUCUUUUCUGCUGUAGGACCCCAUCUGAUGCAGACCCAUGCAAGUCUUAUGCCUACUGCCUCAGUUUCUAUGAGUUCAUAUGUGCAUUUGUCCUGUUGUGUUUAGAAGGUCCAUUUCCUGCUAUUCUCUAUCCACUUUGAUUCAUUCUUUCAUUCAUCUAUCCAUUCACUCAUUUUUGAAAAUAAAUAAGAUAUAACAAAACCCACCACACCAACAUUGGACAAGACAAACUAACAGAAGGAAAAGAGCCCCAGAGAAGGCACAAGGAUCAGAGAUGCAGUCGUUCACAUAUUCAGGAAUCCCAUAAAAACCUGAACUUGAAGCCCUAAGCUCAGGGGACCUGAUGCAGGCACUUGUAGGCCUUGUGCACUCUGCUACACUCUCUGAAUUCAUAUUGAUGUAGAAGGCCUUGGUUCCUUGGUGACCUCCAUCCCCCACCCCUGGCUUUCACAGAGUUCCCUGAGUCCUAGGGGAGGAAUUUGAUGGAGACUUCCCAUUUAGGACUGAGUGUUCCAAGGUCUCUCUCUGCAUAUUGUGUGGCUGUGGGUCUCUGUAUUUGCUCCGAUCUGAAGUGAAAACUUAAGGGUUCCCUGAAAAUUCAGUUGUGUUCCUUUGUGUUUUGCUGGAGCAAACAUGUGAAGGAGUGUUUUCCUGAAGUAGACACGGGUGAAAGGCUAAGGCAGACUUAUGAAGGAAUAUUUAGCUGAAGCAGACAUAGGACAGAGGAUGUUUUGCUAAAGCAAGCACAUGAAAGGACACAUAAUGAAGGAUUCUUUGCUAACAACAUGCAUGUAUUGGUCCACCUUAAAUUGCAUAGUUGAGCUUUAUUUGCCAGGACUCCAUAGAGAGAAAUGUGCCAAAAAAAUUUCUGGUGGUAUGCUGCAGUUUCUUGCUGCUUCGGCAGACUUGCGCUGACUGGCUGAUUUGUCCUCUGAGACAGACACAAGUGCUGAGACAAGACCCAUGGAGGACAUGAUGAGAUGUUUGAAGGAAGUAUAAAUAGAACUCGACAGAUGGUGACUGAGGCUGAACUUGCGGUGCUGGGAGAGCUAGCUGUGCAACACCUGUUGGUCUUGUGUUGUUGCUGAUUUUCGAUUCACUGAGAGAGGCACAGCUGAUAACUUUUCUUGGUGUCCCUCCAGGUCCCUCCUGCUGACUUGAGCCAAGGCUGAGUGAGGCCUGGCUAUCUGCUAGGUAGUACCACUGCUGCUGCUAUCCUAACUCCAUUGAACUGAACUGCUGGUGUAUCCAUGAAGUGUUUACAAGUGGGUCAAGCUGCUGCUGCUAUCCUGUGAAACGAACUGCUGAUUUCCUCACAACACAGAUGGGAAAUGUGCCAUCUAUUUCUAAACAAGUCCACUUCCCCAUAUCCUUUCUUUUUCACUACCUCUGGUGGGUGGUAGGCUAAAAGUGAGGUUAAAGUAUUUAAGAACCAUCAUUAAAAGUAGACUUUGAAAAAAAAUUAAAGUUACAUCUGUCUGCUGCAGGAGGAAGCUUCUCUGAUGAUGCAGGAGCAAGGCACUGAUCUAUGAAUGUGUGGGGACGUGAAAGGCAGCCUGUUCUGGUUGAAUGAGGCUUGCUCCUGAGACCCAGUAGAAAACUCUACAAGGGGACAGAACAGUUAGCCACAUUCCCAGAGACAGGUGCCUGACACCACAGAGCCCCCAACUCCAUAAUUCUGUGACUAUCAGUCAAAAAGUCCCAAGCUCCUGGCUUUCUGGCUAGACUCCACCCUCACAGUUACCUGAGUAUAACCAGGUAUGCCCCUUCCCAUAGUUACCUGGCAACAGCAAGGUAGCCCAGCCCACUAUAAAAGGGCUGCUUGGCUUCUCCUAGCUCCUUUUAAGCUCUCACCAUUCUUACUCUCCUCUCUAGCCCUCUUUCUAUCUCUCCUUUCCCCCUACUCCACGUGGCCAUGGCCAGCCUCUCUCUUUCUUUCUACCUUUUCUCUUUCUCUCUGCUUUUCUACAAUAAAGCUCUAAAACCAUAGACUGUCUCUGAUCAUCAAGGCCCGCCUUACUUGAAUGAUGGGAUAGGCUUUCCCCUAAAGAGCCUCAUCUAACCUCCUCCCGGAAGACCUUCCUGCACUCCAGCCACGGACCAGACCAAGGACUCUCGCCCACGUGGGAACCACCCAGUGCCCCCCCCUCUCUCUGCCUUCUCUUCCCUUAGGCCUGGGGAUGACUGAGCCACCCCAGGGCCUCCACUUUGUUCUCAGCUCUUCCAUGGUGUCCAGUGGUGUCUGGGAUGCCCAAGACUAAGAGCCUGUUAUCUCUGGCCUCUGUGAGGUCCAGAGACCUCAGACUGCCCCUUGCCCAACCCCCAAGGCUGGGUCUGUAGCUUCCCACAGCCAGACACCCACCCGGGGCCACGUGGAAAGCUUGCAGCAGUCCUGCAUCUGCCUGCCCAGAGCACCAGAACUCUGGCAGGACGCUGGUUUUCUCCCACUCCCUUUAUUCCCCCACACCCGGUGCCCAACAUGAAUAUAGCAGAACGUCAUUGGGAGUCAUUUUAUUACUGUGUUCUUUUAGUAGAAUAGUAGAUUUUGAUUUUACCCUAGAACCCUGGGCUAUCUAGUUUCAGGUUCUUUGUUACCCAAGCAGCUUUGAGUAUGGUUUAUGUGGUGGUAUGAAUAUGCUUGGCCCAUGGGAAGUGGCACUAUUAGAGGGGGUGUGGCCUUGUCGGAAUAGUUGUGGCCUGGUUGGAGGAAGUGUGGUGCUGUGUAGGUGGGCUAUGAGAUGGGCUUUGUGUAGUUGGGCUACUAGAGCUCAAGAUCCUCUCAGUGCAGAAGAGAGAGCCUCCUCCCUAGCUGCCUGAGGAACACAGCCUCCUCCUGACUGCCUGUAGAAGACAGUCCAGUUCUGCUGCCUGCAGAUCAAGAUGUAGAACUCUCAGCUCCUCCAGCACCAUGUCUGCCUGCACAUUGCUGUGCUUCCCACCAUGAUGAUAACGGACUGAAUCUCUGAAACUAUAAGCCAACCCCAACUAAAUGUUUGCCCUUAUAAGAGUUGCCUUGGCCAUGGUGUCUCUUCACAGCAAUGAAACCCUAAGACAAGUUCCAUCUCAUUUAGUGGGUCUUAAAUCAACCCAGGUAUUCAUUGCUUACUCUGCCGAGCUUUGUGCCACCACUGGACUAGCUUAUCUUACAAGCAAGACACCAUUGUAGAUAGAAGAGUUUGUAGCUGGGUUGGCAUUGACAUGUCUCUAUUAGUAGCAUGCAGAGUACCUCCAGUACCAAGAACACAAGCUUGUAGGAUUGAACAUUCCUGAGGCACCAGUUCAACUUUGUGUUCAAUGAGUUCUGUAGGUGUUGUCUUCAGCAAUAGGUUUUUGCCUUCAGUUUGUGAAGAGCAUCCUAGUCCUGGCAACAGCCUGGUUGUUUGGGGUUCCCAUGGGGCCCCUUUGGCCAAUAACUCAAUUAGAUGUAACUCAUUCCCAGUAUUGGAAGGUUUAUGUGGUGACAGGAGAUGUUCAGCCAGGCCUCUUUCCCCCCAUUAUUUGGCAAUUUCAUUUAGGUAGCCUCAUAUGUGUAUGUAUUUUAGGGGAAUUCUACAGUAUUAGGCUUCCAUAGUACCUUUCAAAAAACCCUUAAUUUUAGCUGUCUUCCUUUUCCCUUCCCCUCCUUAAGUUUACUGAUAUAAUUAUGCAUAUUUGGGGAUACAAUGUGGCAAUUCUAUAUGUGUGAAAUAUAUAAUUAUCAACUUAGGAUAAUCCGCAUUUUCAUAUUCCUAAGCAUUUAUUUCUUUGUGGUAUGAACUUUUAAAUUCUUCUCCUUUAAAGUUUUAUGAAUAUCUAUUAAGUUGCUGUAAAGUGAGUAACUCUGCUGUGCUGUAGGACGUUAGGUUUAUUGUUCCUUUGCUAGACAUUAACGUAUCCCUCCACCCUCUUAAUACUGCUAACUUUAGUGACUACCACUAUAUGCUCUUUGAUGUUUCAACAUUUGAGCAAGAAAAUGCGCUAUGUAUCUUGCUGUGGCUUAUUUGGCUUAACAAAUAAGAUCAGCCAGUUUCAUCCUUGCUGCUGCACAUGACAGGAUUUAAUUAUUUUGUGGAUAAAUAUUAUUCCAUUGCAUAUAUUUUGUGGUAAAACAUACAUGGCCAAGCUAUAUAAACAUGAGUAUUGAAUUUUCACAAUUGUGAUAAACUAUUGCCUUGCUCAAUAAAUAGAACCCACUCCCAGCCCUUCAGCUAAAUCUAUUAUGUCAUUUCACUCCCCAAGUUUCACUGACUCUCAGGCUUCAAUGACUAUUCUCUUGAUUUCUAACAUUAUAGAUUUAUUUUGCUUAUCUUACAUAAUUUAGUAAUGUAGUACUAUUUGUUCUGCUUUGCUUUGGUUACACAAGGUUAUAUGAGAUUCAUUCAAGUUAUUGAGUUUACUGAGUCAUGCAUUUGAAUUUCUAUAUAGAAUUAUACAAGAUACAUUCAAAUGUGGAGAUCUAUUAUUUCUAUAUAUAGGCUAUAAGAAACAGUGUUUCUCAGAUUUAUGUAUAUUUUCUUGCAUUUUCCUAUGGCAGAGUUCUUUGUGAAUGUUAUAUAUUAGUGAACAGAAAUUUUGAUGUUACCCAGGUUGUAUAAUGUUUUCUCUUGUUGUUUGUUCUUUUUGCUCUGUUAUCAAAAUACUUUUGCUAUUCCUAAAGCUACGAAGAUAUUUUUAUGAGUUACUGUUUAGAAGACACAGCACACAUGAAAUUAAUUUCCACAAAGUAUAGUACAACACUCAUUGUUUUUCUUUUUUUAUUUAUGUAUUUGAUUUACCAAGUAGCAUCUUUAAAAAAAUAAAAAUAAAUAAAAGCCCAAC
RNAcentral lists this long non-coding RNA (6343 nucleotides) under Mus musculus (house mouse). RNAcentral's name for it is "long non-coding RNA chrX:94751299-94757642". The record is from RNAcentral. Lineage: Eukaryota; Metazoa; Chordata; Mammalia; Rodentia; Muridae.